UAUAUUCUAGUAUAAGAUGUACAUAGAUUUUUGAUAUCUAAAGAGGUAGUUUAAUUCUACCGAAUAUAA
This 69-nucleotide transfer RNA is filed under the name Bruchus sp. EMHAU-15071302. RNAcentral describes it as "tRNA-Gln". The record is from RNAcentral. Lineage: Eukaryota; Metazoa; Arthropoda; Insecta; Coleoptera; Chrysomelidae.